Molecule: non-coding RNA, 1142 nt
Organism: Dermacentor albipictus
Lineage: Eukaryota; Metazoa; Arthropoda; Arachnida; Ixodida; Ixodidae
Source: RefSeq, a predicted model, not a curated record
UCGCUCCCAUUACAACCCGCCUGACGUGGCAGGCCACACAAUAUUUUAUUCAGUGGCCCUGCCAAACAAAUCACGCUUUGUUUACGGCCACCGAGAUUUUCGAGCACGAACGAAACGACAUCCGUACAAGCUCAAAGGCCACGUCCGAGACGCAUGGCACACCGGCCAACACGCGCGCGGAUUGUUGUUCGGCGUGAAGUUACUGCAGUCACCGGAUACAUAUCGCACUUAUAAUCUCUCCCUCGAAGUUGCAAAGAAGCAUACCCCCUUUUUCAUUUACAGAAAACAAUUUUUUUUGUACUGCACAUGCGUUGUGCACGUAGUACUGCGCCACCGUACCGACUCAAAAAUUCUCAAGUAACAUUUAAGUGCUCGUGCGAUACAUGCAUACCAGGAUAGUACGUACCUUGCGUUCUGUGGGCCUAGCCGUUGCCGUUCCUCAGCCGAGAAAUGUCUUCGCCAGUCAAAGGCUUUACUGUUCGUUCCACCCGUGAAUGCAUACGAGCAUGCCGUGUGCUGCCAAUUCGGAUGCCUGCUAACAAACAAUGCUUCACCAACUUGGCACUACUGACUCCGAUGGUGCCGGAAUUUCGUGAACCAGCCCGGCACCUUUCUGGCACUUCUUGAAACGAAUGCUACAGUACGGAGGGCGCUAGGCUGCACCAUUGAAACGAAGGGCAGGCUGCAGCACCUCACGAACUGCUUUCGAUGGCGCAGGUGAAUCGAACGGGCCAUUAAGUUUUUAUCUUUCUUCCAUGAGCACGGGUGCCGCCAUGUUUGCCACGUGAUCGCGCUGGUAUGAUUGACUUUGAAUUUAGGGACAGGGAAGCGGCGGUACGGCUGCAGGCAUGGGUGACGUUUCGGGAAACGCCGUUGUUUCGGGUCCACCGAUGGAAAGCUGCUGGAUCGACGACGCAACGCUCUGGCCUAUGGUUCAACGAACGCGGAUAGCGGAAACUGGAGAUUAGGAAGAGGGGAGACUCGGCCUUCUCGUUACAAGUCCCUCCAAGCUACAAUCUGCAAGCCUCUCCGGCCACCCAGCUUCCCAAGCCCCUGGGCCCUGGUUCGUCGCAUAUAACGCAUACCCUGCUAAUGCUCGUGCUGCCGUCGAUUUCUGCGAUAAAUAAAUGGAUACGCUCGCA